UGGGGAAUCUUGCACAAUGGGGGCAACCCUGAUGCAGCGACGCCGCGUGAGCGAUGAAGCCCUUCGGGGCGUAAAGCUCUUUCGACCGGAACGAUAAUGACGGUACCGGGAGAAGAAGCUGCGGCUAACUACGUGCCAGCAGCCGCGGUAAUACGUAGGCAGCAAGCGUUGUUCGGAGUUACUGGGCGUAAAGAGUGCGUAGGCGGUUUUCUAAGUUCGGUGUGAAAUCUCCCGGCUUAACUGGGAGGGUGCGCCGAAGACUGGGAAGCUGGAGUGUGGGAAAGGCGGGCGGAAUUCCAGGUGUAGCGGUGAAAUGCGUAGAUAUCAGGAGGAACACCGGCGGUGUAGACGGCUUGCUAGACCAUAACUGACGCUGAGGCACGAAAGCGUGGGUAGCAAACA
RNAcentral lists this ribosomal RNA (402 nucleotides) under uncultured bacterium. RNAcentral describes it as "bacterial SSU rRNA". It matches the Rfam family "Bacterial small subunit ribosomal RNA", at positions 355 to 774 of the family's 1533-position model. The record is from RNAcentral.